ACACAGAGAGAGAGAGAGAGAGAGAGAGAGAGAGAGAGAGAGAGAGAGAGAGAGAGAGAGAGAGAGAGGAGAUGAGCUUCAACUCGAAUCCGGCGGAGCAAGAGCAUCAACAAAGAGCACCUAAAACUCAUAUUGUGUAUUAUUUUCUAAAAACAUUUUUGUCCAUCAACUUUUGAUCUUUUCAUUAUAAAUUUACUCAUAAACGUGUAAUAUAAUUAUUAUAUAAAUAUGAUACACAUUGUAUCAUUUCAAUAUUGCGACUAAUAUGGCUUCUUCCAACAAUAACGACUGGUCUUUGAUGAUUAUCUGCAACAAUUUUUUGCUUUUGUAACAAUUUGUUUUUCGGAAAUUAUGUUUGUUAUCUUUUCAUAUAUAUAUAUAUAUAUAUAUAUUCUAUAUUUGUAUUAUAAAAAUAAUUAAAGUUAUCACUUUUUCAAAAAUAAAAUAAUAAUAAUAUAUCGUAACAGUAAGAAAAAAGAAUAAUUAGAUGCAAAACUUAAUCUUAUUAUUAAUUUACCAUUUCAGUUUCCUGAUACUUUAUUUGCAACGGAAUGAUGUCAGCCCACAUGAGUUACCACGCCAAUGAAUAUGGUAAAAAAAAAGAUUGUUAAGAAAAUUUAUAAAGUAUAUUAACCGAUACAAAUAAAAAAUAUGACUUUUUGUAUAUUUUUUUACUAUAAUGAAAUUUCAAAAUUGUAAUAGUUUAUAACUUGACAGUAAACUAAUAAGACCAUCUCCAACCCAAUUCUAUUUCUAUCUCUAUAUUUUUCCCCUAAAAUAGAGAAACUCUAUUAUAGAGGUGAAAAUGCUCCAAUGUAUGCCUUUAUAAUAGAGUUCUUCUAUUCUUGAGGAAAAUAUAGUGGAAAUUUACUUUUUGCCUCUAUAUUUAGAGGUGGAAAUAACAUAUCUCUAUAUUUAGAGGUGAAAAUAACAUAUCUCUAUAUUUUCCCCUAUAAUUAGAAUAACUCUAUUAUAGAGGCAUACGUUGGAGCAUUUUCACAUUUAUAAUAGAGAUUUCUAUUUUAGAGGAAAAUAUAGAGGUGUACAUUGGAGAUGCUCUAACAUCUUUAUAUAUAAAGUACACUUUUCUUAUCUCCCAGCGUGUCCACGUUGACAUCCACGUCGACAUCCACGUCAUCAAUUCGGUCGACGUCGUGGCGACACGUGUCCCAUAGCUUAAAACUAUGUGUUUCAUUAAGUAUUUAGCGACAUUUAUUGGGCUUCUUCUAAAGAUUUUUUUCCAUCGUUCGAGCGAUGGGGUUUGAUGAAAUCGACGAGUUUAAUCCGUUCGGAGGGUUUCUGCGCCGGUUGAGAUUUUUCUUCAUCGGUCGAAAUGCUUCCUCUUCUUUAUAAAGAUAGAUUGGAAUGGCAAACGUUUCUCAACUACACUCCAAUUUGAAAGCCGGCUCCACCGUCGAAGUUCUUCUCCUGGCAUUUUGGGAGACUGGCAAUGUAAAGAAAGGCUGCUAGCUUCUGGAUCUCACAACUCUCAUGAAGAAGCCAAGAGCAGAUAACUAAAGGUCUCACAACUCUCAUGAAGGAGCUCAUGUCUUUACUUUUCUGUUUACCUUUUUGUUUUUUUUUUGUGGUCAGCUUUUAAUGUUUCUUUUAAGAAUCCCAGAAAAUUGUAAUUUUCUCUCCUUUUUGCCAAAUUAAAUCUGCUGAUCGUCUUCUUUUAGAUGCUCCAAAUUGGUCAAUGCUUUGAGGACAUUCCUUUGUAUUCUCUGUUAGAUACAUGUAUGGAUAUUGUUAGUUGGAUCUGAGUUUCUUAGUAAAAUGAGAAUUCACUUUCAUAAAGUGAUUAACAAUAGUUAAUUCUUACUUUGUUUAGUUUAGUUCUACAGAUAGUGCAAAUUUAUGUUUGCUUAUUCCUCAGCGCAACGUCCAGAACACACUUUUAUUAUGAUCAGGAAACUCAAGCCAGCAAGAACUUUCUUAAAGUGUAAGAAAGUCUAACUUCAUCCUAAUAUUUUAUUAACUUUCUUACAACUAUUGUUUUAUCCCCUCUAGGCUAGGUUGGUCUUGGUCUGGCUCAAUGUCUUCGUUUACCCACCUCAGGUACGUAAUUUACUUAUUGGUACUGCAAUCGUGGAUUCAUUUUUGGCUCAUCUAAAAUUUAUCGUUCAAGUCUUCCUCUACGUGUCUAUACCUGCAGACUUUUGAGUUCCUUUGCAAAGCCAAAUUCAGUGAAAUUGAGACAAUCAAUGGAUGGUGCUCCUUCUCCUGUUCUAAGUGCUAUCAAAAGCUACAGCAUGGUUUCACAUCUUUUACAUGUUCAAGAUGUAAUGAUGACAAUGCUAUUGGGGUAAUGUAUUCUCACAGUAAUUGCAGAGAUUGUUUUCUCAUCUAAUGUGUAUUGUCUCAACCUAGGUUUUACUAACAUCUUUUAACCAUGUCAUUGUAAAGGAUUGUCUACAGUAUUGUCAUCAUUACAUCUUUAAGAUAUAGUAUGGGCUUAGAUAAAUAAAGCCAACGGGUCAAACCAAAGUAUUGUAUAAACCUGUCACCACCUUCAAAUACUAACCUUCCCAACUCUUGACUAUUUGGACUAAAAGUGGAGAAUCACUAACUCAAAGAAGUAUUAGGUUGCUUAAUCACACAUCUGAGUGUUUACAUGGCCUCUACCUGUAAAACAAAACUGAAUCCGAAACACGCCACCUACAUUUCAAAUCAAUAACAAGCACCAAACUACGCACAAGGAAUCUAAGCAUAAGAAGAACUUAUUCAAACUAAUCAUGAUUCAUGAAUAACGACCAAAACAAAAUAACAAUAAAAUCAUACCACCAAACAAAUCUUACAGCUAAAGAUCACAAUUAAAUUAUGCAAACCAACUUAACAAAACAUCAAAUAAUUUACAUGUAAUGAAGAUAUAAAUUAUUUACUCUGAAAAAUAAAGAAUAAUGAAGAUUACUUUAACUUUAAUUGAAAAAAAUGAUUAUUAUAAAAAACAAUAUGAUCUCAUAAUUCUAUUAAUUACAAAUCGCUUUCGAUAUACAAUGUUUUAUAAUGUUUCAUAAAAUUAAUUAGAAACAAUGAAAACUGAGUAAAUUGACAUUGUAAUUAACUGCAGGAUAAAAACUGAGUAAAUAGACAUUGUAAUUAACUGCAGGAUAAAAAUUGGAAGAAUUUUUACCGAAAUCAGAGACGGAAGAAGUUGGAAUAAUAAAUAAUCUGAGAAGAGAGGAAAGAAAUUGACAAGUGGAUUAUUUGUCGGUCAAAAUAAAAGAAAUCGCAAUUCACUCUAUCUCCUCUCACAAAUUCGUAAUUAUUCAAAAAUAUAUUGGAUUGCAGAGACAUUAAAAAUUAAUAGUUUGAGAGCUUUCAAAAUUUAUGAUUCGAUAACGCAAAGAAUUUUGUACAAAACACAAUUUAUAGAGUUGAAAAGACAUACGUGGAAAAGAUGCAACUUUCUAAGCCAAAAGUGGUAACAAAGUAAAAACUAUAAAAUAUGGUUAUAAACACACGAAAUAAAUAUAAUCGAAAAACAUAAAUUAAAAAGAAAUUCAAUUUUUUAUUGGCGGUUGAUAAAACAGUUAUAAACGAAAAAUACCAUAAACAGUUAUGAACAAAGAUGGUAUAGUAAACUGUCAUAAGCAAAAUUAUAUUUAAAAAAAAAAGACAUAUCAUAGGAACUAAUUGAGAUUAAAAAAUGAAAGUAGGUCUAAACAAAAAGGUUCCAUGAACGAUAAUGAACAAAAAUAUAUAAUAAAAAAUUAUGAGUAAAAAAUGAAAACAGUUAUAAAUGAAAAGGUAUUAUAAACAGUUAUUAACGAAGAUGUAUAUCAACUGUAUAAUGAAAAUGCAUAUUCGUAGGAAUUUAUUGAGAUAAAAAAAUGAAAGUAGUUAUAAACGAAAAAGUGUCAUUAAUGGUUAUGAACAAAAAUAUGUAGUGAAAAGACAUACCCGUUCGAAUUAAUUGGGUUUGCUAUUAUUAAUAGAUUUUUUUUUUUUUUUGCAUUCUAAAUAUUUAUUAAUGAUCAAGGUGUACAAUGAUUUAGAUGAAUGAGGGAAAAGUAUGGAACAUACUCCAUUUUUGAUCACAUAAGAUAAUAGUCCUUGCUAGUUUAUCAACAGCUUUAUAACUUUGAUGUUAUUGCAAACGUUUUAAGAAUAUGAUUUACAUUUUAAUGUUAUAUUUUAUGUAACUCUAUAAUCUCAUUGUUUAUGUUUUUGUUCCACAUCUUAUUAUGUAAAGAACACUUUUCUCUUCUUCUCCUACGGUCACCUCAUCAAAUAAGGAAAAGAUGGCUUCACACGUGGCAAGUUGAGAGUGAUGGGUUACUAAUGGGCUUCAUUAUAUUUAGAUCAUAGUGUUUGGAAUUAGAAUUUUGGGUAAUGAGAUUAUAAAUGUGUUUACUGCAGUCCAAAUUCAUUUUUUUCUCCAAAACAAUGUAUACGAAACCUAGAAAGUGGAUGCAGUACAACAGUUUCCGUUUAAUCAACCGCCAAAAAAAAUCUAGCUGUUUUAUCGGUAACGAAUAAUUCCGAUCAAGAUUGGUUGGAAGCCAACGUCUUUCGCUACGUGAUUGGACUUCCUCCCCCCGUGAGUGUAUUUGGGCAUCGUUACAGAAAUCAACUUGAUUCAUACAUCUUCAUUAAUGCUCACAUUAACAUCGGUUCCCACUUUUCACACGAUCGCACAUCCAAUGAAAUCCCUCAUUCAUUCCUUUUUUAGAAUCUUCCACUAUGAAUAUGAAUUUUUUCUUCCUAAGAAUCAGAAGUUCAUUCCUCCUAAUAAAACACACAAAAAGAGAGAGAGAGAGAUAGAUAGAGGAGAUGAGCUUCAACUCGAAUCCGGCAGAGCAAGAGCAUCAACAAAGAGCAACAUGUGAGCUUUAUUCGUUAAUUGCCGGUUCAGAUUUUCCCACGGCUAGAUUACAUGGCGGAGUAUCUACAGGGAACGCCUUGCUGUCAUCAUCUCUUGACGAUUGGCUGGAGCACUUUCAUCGUGAGAUCAGCAAUGAAGAUGAGAUGGUGUAGUGGUAUGCGUUUCAAAAUGGCGUUUGAAACAGUGGAUUCAAAAAAGAAUCAGUUGGUUCAUGGUUACUGUCCCGCCGUUUAAGUCGCUGAUCCAAUCCAUUGGCCUGAUUCUUUAUCGCGUCUCCUUCAGGUCAGCCACCCAAAACAAAAGUCUCUUCCUUUAUCAAAACCCGUGUUUGCAAACGCUGAAACGUUGCCGUUUAGGUAAACCUUUUGAUUUCCCUUUUGAUGGAACCAAUAUAGGCAUGAUAUGUUCUGAUUCUUUUUCAAACUGCUAUGAUACCCAUGUUUCUUACUCACAAAAUUGCAUGACAUAUAUCAUAAUGACAUUAGAAAAGCUGUAGAAGACGGGUUAAUAUAUACACUGAGCUGCGUCUUCAUAUU
Brassica napus (rape) is the source of this 5364-nucleotide long non-coding RNA. RefSeq lists it as uncharacterized. Lineage: Eukaryota; Viridiplantae; Streptophyta; Magnoliopsida; Brassicales; Brassicaceae. The transcript has 2 exons. The record is from RefSeq and is a predicted model, not a curated record.